This is a non-coding RNA of Rattus norvegicus (Norway rat), 3405 nucleotides long. The record is from RefSeq and is a predicted model, not a curated record. NCBI's taxonomy places the organism in Eukaryota, Metazoa, Chordata, Mammalia, Rodentia, Muridae.
CUCUGUGCAGCUUUGGCUGUCUUGGAACUUGCUUUGUGCACCAGGCUGACCUUGAACUCAAAGAUUCACCUGCCACUGCCUCCCAAGGGCUGGGAUUCAAGUCAUGCACUAUCACUUUCCAGCAUUUCACAUCAAUUCUUAAUCAAGAAAAUGUCCCAUAGAGCUGCUCACAGGCCAUGUGAUGGAGACAAUUCUUCCAAGGAAGUGACUCUUUCACCAAUUGACUCUGUGCCAAAUUGACCCAAACUAACUAGCACAGACCCCAAAUCAGAGUGGUUUAGAAAUAGGCACAUGUUUCUCUCACAUAACAGUGCAGACAUGAGCAGAGCAGGGCUAGAAGGAGUCUCAGCUAGAAACCCUGCCUGCUUGUGUCUUAGAGCUCAGCCGUCCCAGUAACAUGGAUCUCAUUCACAGCCUAUUGAUGGAUCGCUGAGCUCUAGCAUCGCCUCCAGCCCUGAUCGCCUGCCUCUGCGUUCUGCCUGUCAUGUCUUCAGUCACUGUGCUCUGCUCUGACCCAAUGCAUGCUACGCCCACCACUCAUCUCUAUAUUCACGGGAUGUUUUGACCAUCUUCUCCGCUUCUAGACUCUAACAGGAGGGGCAGGAAACCUCUUAGCUUUGCAGGAACAACUAGAGAAUCACACAGGUUGUUCACAUGAUGUGCUGGUGGCAGAUCAAGCUGUAAGGGAGCCUAGGAAAAACAAUUCUUUUCUCUAGUCGAUAUUUGCCGAGUGAGAGAUGAGAGAUGGGUGGAGACUGACAGCAACCCCAGCCUUGCUUUGCUUCAGUGUGCUAAGCCAGUGAACUCUAGAAUGCCCCUGAGGAAAAUCAACAUAACCUUCGGGAGUCUCCUGCCUUCCAUGUCUUGACAGAAUGACUUUAAAAGAUUUUAAAUUUUUAUUAAAAUGAGGGUGUAAGGAGUUACUCAAUGUCACAGACUAAGAGAUGAACAAGGAUUGGGGCUUAUAUACAAGGAUUCUAAUCCCUUUUAAAGAUCCUUUCCUGUAGGGAGCCGUAUUGGAUUUGGGCCUGGCCACUUUUUGACUGCAUGGCUCAAAGUGGCUAGGUGACUCUGGGCUGUUUGGCCACAGAUAUUCACCCCUAAGAUGACUGCCAUAAAGUCUUGGCAAAAGAUUGCUGGACAAAAGCCUCUCCCAUGAAUUUACGGCACAGGAAGAUAACAUUCAAGGGAUGCCUCAGCUCGAGCAGAUGCCAGUUAUCUCCUGAGUCAACACCCGGUGUCUCCACCGCCUGACCUCAUCGUCUACCGCCUGACCUCUUUGCCUCCUGCUAUCACUCCCUAUACCCUCAUCCCUCCAUCCUUCGUGUUUCACAAAGGUCACUCCCCUUACCUGAAAGCCUUAAAAGCUGUAGCAUUCACCCCAAUAAACGAGACCUUGACAACAGAACUUUUGCUUGGUCUCCUUCUUCUCUUUACCCCCAUUUGGCCCACAGGUAGAAAGCCUCUUCGGGACCCUGAAUAACUGGGUCCCCACUGGUGGGGACAAGUGGCGCCUGAACAGGGACCCCGAAGCACGGCCAACUACAGGACGACAGAGACAAGAGAGCUGCAGCAGGAAUUGAGGAAUCUUCAGGCCGGAUUGCUCGUGUGUCGCUGGAGAGGGAGGAUGCUACAGGAGUGUGCCAGCUGCCUGAGUGGCUGGUGAGACUUGCUGAUCCUGGGAGCAUGAAGAUUCAGCUCUCCUGGUUCAGGUCCCUGGAGUCAUUCCUGUGCCCUUGGAGGAAGAUGGAGACUUUUUAAGAUUUACCCUCACCGAGGUAGCCGGGGUGGAAAGUUGUAUUUUGGGAGAACAUAUGCUCCCUCUUCACCAGCUGUUAGAAAUAUACAACCAUACCUUGGUUGUUAACAAACAUCAUGAGUACCUGCUCGCCCCAAACCAUACUUAUCUGGCCUGUUCAUCAGGGCUGACUACCUAUGUAAUAUCUGAGUUCUUGCAGCAGCACGAUUAUUGCGUAUUGGUACAACUACUCCCAAGACUCAGCAUUCAUAAACCAACAACGCUAUCAUUUACUCAGCACUGCAAUUGACCAGGACCUAGCUGAGCGAGGGCUUAGCCAAUUUAAAAGAUUCUGUUGCCUCCCUUUCAGAAGUAGUACUGCAAAAUAGAAGAGGGCUUGAUUUACUCUUCCUACAACAAGGAGGACUUUGUGCAGCCUUAAAAGAGGAAUGCUGUGUUUAUGUAGAUAAGACUGGACUUGUAGAAGACAGUCUAAGAAAAGUGAGAGAUAGCCUGGAAAAACGAAAAAGGGAGAGAGAACAACAGGAGUCCUGGUAUAAAAACUGGUUCUCCACAUCCCCAUGGCUCUCUACCCUGUUGCCUUCAAUUUUGGGACCCCUUGUGGGCCUACUUUUGUUGAUUUCCUUCGGUCCUUGGGCCUUUCAUCGACUUACACACUUUAUUAAAUCACAAAUAGAUUCUGCUUUGCCUAGAAAUUCUGUUUCAGUACAUUAUCAUCGCUUGGAGACCGGAACAACUAAGGAGAACCAGAGAGACAACAAACAAGAUGAGGUGACUACAACAUAUCAGGAGAGGCUCAACUUCCACAAUCUCCUAAAUUAAUGCCAUCUGGCCCCUACUCUUUCGCCCCUGGGCUCAAAUAAGAGGAAUGAGAAGAUGACCCAAUGUAGCCAUCAUCAGUGACAGGCAACUUCCUCUGACCCUUGACCAAUCUAAGUCAUGGAACCUUGGGGGCGACAAGGUGAUCCUAUGACAGAUAAGGCUGGGGUUCGAGAGGUUGAUCCUAAGACAGAGGUGGCUACACCCCAUUUAAACGUACAGGCCGGUCAAAUGCUCCUCUGCCCACUUUCUCCCCCAAUAAACACACACGUAUAGCCCAGAACGGUGUGUUACAGCAUAAGUUCAUUCCUAGCCAUUGGGGUGCAGUCCUAACUGCAAGAGUGGCUCGCCAUGGCCGUUCUGGGCACUCUGUGAGGCAUGUCUGAUCUCUCUCAGACCACUACUUCCACCUAAUGGUCUUUUAUAAAAGAAAAAUGGGGGAGAUUUAGGGAGCCUGGCCGCUUUUUGACUGCAUGGCUCAAAGUGACUAGAUGACUCUGGGCUGUUUGGCCACAGAUAUUCACCCCUAAGAUGACUGCCAUAAAGUCUUGAGAUUGUUGGACAAAAGCCUCUCCCAUGAAUUUACGGCACAGGAAGAUAACAUUCAAGGGAUGCCUCAGCUCGAGCAGAUGCCAGUUACCUCCUGAGUCAACACCCGGUGUCUCCACCGCCUGACCUCAUCGUCUACUGCCUGACCUCUUUGCCUCCUGCUAUCACUACCUAUACCCUCAUCCCUCCAUCCUUCGUGUUUCACAAAGCACUCCCCCUACCUGAAAGCCUUAAAAGCUGUAGCAUUCACCCCAAUAAACGAGACCUUGACAACAGAA